This is a small nucleolar RNA of Dioscorea cayenensis subsp. rotundata (Guinea yam), 104 nucleotides long. The record is from RefSeq and is a predicted model, not a curated record. NCBI's taxonomy places the organism in Eukaryota, Viridiplantae, Streptophyta, Magnoliopsida, Dioscoreales, Dioscoreaceae.
AAUCAGUGUUGCGGGCACUUUCUCAACAGCUCCUUGAACUUUUCCCACACCUCAAAUAGAGAAUCCAAUUCUAAUUGUAAAAAGGAGGAGAUCUCAUUCCGUGU